Molecule: long non-coding RNA, 451 nt
Organism: Microplitis mediator
Lineage: Eukaryota; Metazoa; Arthropoda; Insecta; Hymenoptera; Braconidae
Exons: 3
Source: RefSeq, a predicted model, not a curated record
GAUCACACUUUUAAAUGAUUAAAAAAUAAUUUUAUUCGAGUUUUUAGAAUUGUUCAAUAUAUUUUCAUGGUACCAGCAUCGUGACGUUAAGUUUUAGCGUCCGUAAAGUCAAUCAAAUGUUAGCGGUUGCGUACAUUACAAAUGCCUUUAGUAAGUGGGCAGCAACGAACUUGAUUCAUCUAUUGGGAAGAAACAAAAAUUGAUUUCACCCGCUGAAGUCAUAAAUAUCCAAUCACACUUUUCGCUUACGCUUAUGGUUGUCACGUCAUUGGAUUCGAAUUGACUUCUGUCUGGCUGGCUGCUAACACUAAGACUUGAAGUUCCAAUGCAGGAUGAUUUUGCAAAAUGUAAGAGUAGAAGUCUGGCUUUGAUUCCUAAGCGGCUCAAAAUGCGGCAAAGUAGAAAAAAGACGAAGACAAAGAUAAAGAUGAAGAUAUGAAGAUGAACGGAG